This 406-nucleotide ribosomal RNA is filed under the name uncultured bacterium. RNAcentral's name for it is "partial 16S ribosomal RNA". It matches the Rfam family "Bacterial small subunit ribosomal RNA", at positions 29 to 526 of the family's 1533-position model. The record is from RNAcentral.
AUUGAACGCUGGCGGCAGGCCUAACACAUGUAAGUCGAGCGAGAGGCGGAGGGGUGAGUAAUGUCUGGGAAACUGCCUGAUGGAGGGGGAUAACUACUGGAAACGGUAGAUAAUACCGCAUACCAUCAGAUGUGCCCAGGAGGGAUUAGCUAGGAGGGGGGGUACUGGCGCACAUGGGCGACGAUCCCUAGCUGGUCUGAGAGGAUGACACGCCACACUGGAACUGAGACACGGUCCAGACUCGUACGGGAGGAAGCAGUGGGGAAUAUUGCACAAUGGGCGCAAGCCUGAUGCAGCCAUGCCGCGUGUGUGAAGAAGGCCUUCGGGUUGUAAAGCACUUUCAUCGGGGAGGCGUUACUCGCAGAAGAAGCACCGGCUAACUCCGUGCCAGCAGCCGCGGUAAUAC